GAUGAACGCUGGCGGCGUGCUUAACACAUGCAAGUCGAACGAGAGAAGAUCGGUGCUUGCACUGAUCCGAUCGAGUGGCGGACUGGUGAGUAACGCGUGGGUAACCUGCCUCAUACAGGGGAAUAACAGUUGGAAACGGCUGCCAAAACCGCAUAAGCGCACAGUAUCGCAUGAUACAGUGUGAAAAACUCCGGUGAUAUGAGAUGGACCCGCGUCUGAUUAGCUAGUUGGUGAGGUAACGGCCCACCAAGGCAACGAUCAGUAGCCGGCCUGAGAGGGUGAACGGCCACAUUGGGACUGAGACACGGCCCAAACUCCUACGGGAGGCAGCAGUGGGGAAUAUUGCACAAUGGGGGAACCCUGAUGCAGCGACGCCGCGUGAGUGAUGAAGUAUUUCGGUAUGUAAAGCUCUAUCAGCAGGGAAGAUAAUGACGGUACCUGACUAAGAAGCACCGGCUAAAUACGUGCCAGCCGCCGCAGUAA
Molecule: ribosomal RNA, 483 nt
Filed under: uncultured bacterium
Lineage: Bacteria
Description: partial 16S ribosomal RNA
Rfam family: Bacterial small subunit ribosomal RNA
Source: RNAcentral